RNAcentral lists this ribosomal RNA (427 nucleotides) under uncultured bacterium. RNAcentral's name for it is "bacterial SSU rRNA". It matches the Rfam family "Bacterial small subunit ribosomal RNA", at positions 355 to 774 of the family's 1533-position model. The record is from RNAcentral.
UGGGGAAUUUUGGACAAUGGGCGCAAGCCUGAUCCAGCCAUGCCGCGUGAGUGAAGAAGGCCUUCGGGUUGUAAAGCUCUUUCGGCCGGGAAGAAAUCGUGUUCUCUAACAUAGGACAUGGAUGACGGUACCGGACUAAGAAGCACCGGCUAACUACGUGCCAGCAGCCGCGGUAAUACGUAGGGUGCGAGCGUUAAUCGGAAUUACUGGGCGUAAAGCGUGCGCAGGCGGUUUUGUAAGACAGAUGUGUAAUCCCCGGGCUUAACCUGGGAACUUCGUUUGUGACUGCAAGGCUGGAGUACGGCAGAGGGGGGUGGAAUUCCACGUGUAGCAGUGAAAUGCGUAGAGAUGUGGAGGAACACCGAUGGCGAAGGCAGCCCCCUGGGCCUGUACUGACGCUCAUGCACGAAAGCGUGGGGAGCAAACA